This 497-nucleotide long non-coding RNA is filed under the name Vigna radiata. RNAcentral's name for it is "long non-coding RNA (VRAD_LNC004303)". The record is from RNAcentral. Lineage: Eukaryota; Viridiplantae; Streptophyta; Magnoliopsida; Fabales; Fabaceae.
AGCACAAUUAAGACAAUAAACAAAGCAAAUGGUUCAACACAAGACCACACAUUAUUAGGGGGGACCACAACCACAAUGCCGCAACAGAAACAAAGCAAAUGCCCAUAUAAUGGGGGACACCAUACAGAAAUCAAAACUAAUGGGGGGACCACGGUGAAAGCAACAAAACACAAAUUAGAACCUAAUAUAAACACACCUUCGAAAGUCGAUUUCAUAAUACCCUACCAACUCGAUCUCUGGAAAUGCGCGUCCAAAUCUCCUCUAGAAUGAUCUCUACACGAUCUUUGUGUUCGCGAUAACGUUUCUCUCUUCUUUCGCACAACCUAAUAUUCCAUAAUCAAGCCCUAAAUCAUUUUUUCCCAAAUUAAAGAAUCCUAUUUUUUUUAAUCAAAACUUAAUCGUGGUCUAAUUAACAAACACGUCACAAUGCACACAGACAUAUUUUGACACGUAACCAUUAAGUUGUUUCACAUCAUCACCCUAUUAACUUUGUUUCC